CGCGUAGGCGGCCCGCUAAGUCGAACGUGAAAUCCCCGGGCUCAACCCGGGAACUGCGUCCGAUACUGGCGGGCUUGAAUCCGGGAGAGGGAUGUGGAAUUCCAGGUGUAGCGGUGAAAUGCGUAGAUAUCUGGAGGAACACCGGUGGCGAAGGCGGCAUCCUGGACCGGUAUUGACGCUGAGGCGCGAAAGCCAGGGGAGCAAACG
RNAcentral lists this ribosomal RNA (207 nucleotides) under uncultured bacterium. Its description in RNAcentral is "partial 16S ribosomal RNA". It matches the Rfam family "Bacterial small subunit ribosomal RNA", at positions 568 to 774 of the family's 1533-position model. The record is from RNAcentral.